Molecule: ribosomal RNA, 253 nt
Filed under: uncultured bacterium
Lineage: Bacteria
Description: partial 16S ribosomal RNA
Rfam family: Bacterial small subunit ribosomal RNA
Source: RNAcentral
GACGUAGGGCGCGAGCGUUGUCCGGAUUUAUUGGGCGUAAAGAGCUCGUAGGCGGCUUGUCGCGUCGACUGUGAAAUCCCGCGGCUCAACUGCGGGUCUGCAGUCGAUACGGGCAGGCUAGAGUUCGGUAGGGGAGACUGGAAUUCCUGGUGUAGCGGUGAAAUGCGCAGAUAUCAGGAGGAACACCGGUGGCGAAGGCGGUUCUCUGGGCAUUACCUGACGCUGAGGAGCGAAAGUGUGGGGAGCGAACAGG